RNAcentral lists this long non-coding RNA (4954 nucleotides) under Marmota monax (woodchuck). The stretch from base 4548 to 4615 matches the Rfam family "tRNA". The record is from RNAcentral. Lineage: Eukaryota; Metazoa; Chordata; Mammalia; Rodentia; Sciuridae.
CACAGUACAGCUGCCAACCUGGGGCUGUGUCAGAACAGGAGGGCAGCUGACUCCUGCCCACAGGCCCCAAAGACCCAGAAGCCAGCAGUGCACUUUCUGAUGGGCCUGGUCUCAGCUGAAGGAGGCCCCAAGGCCCUUCCUGCACUGGCCAGGGCUGACAGGGCAGAGGUUGGGAGGACGGUAGGGAAGGGGGCAGAGCCAGCCACUGCUACACCUGCUGCACUCCGACCCAGAGACAGGGAGAGACACUCAGCCCCUUUGAGCACAGGGAGGGGCCAGGUGCAGGGGCCACGCCUCCUACCUCAGCGACCCAGGGGGCUGCGGCAGGGCAUGCAAGGUCCAGGCCGGUCUGGGCCAUGCAGCCAGAAGGCAUCCCAAGCUAAAUCUGGCUGGGAUGCAGUCCAGGGGAAGAGCACCUGGGUUUAACCCCAGCACCGUUAGCCCCAGGGAGACACUCACGUGCCCUGGGGUGACUAUGACCAAAAGAUGUCACGAGGGAGAGCUGCCAGCACUGUGCAGAGGUCAGCAGCCUCAGGACCACCACUGCUGGUGACCAGCCUGGCAGCGCCACCAAGGUGAAAUGCAGUCACCACCAGGGCCAGCAACCCCUCCUAGUGGAUGCCUGAGUCCAGAACAGACAGCUGACACACAAAGGGUGCACACGGAAACAGCCAAGGUCCACCAACAGGAGGUGGACACACAGCCUGGCCACGCACACCUGGAGCGUCCUGGCCAGGGCAGGAGCGAGGCGACACACUGCAGCAUGGGUGGACCUGAGGACCACGUGCUCAGUGACAGCCAGGCACACAAGGCCCAGUGACAGAGGAGUCCAGGGCAGGAGGCUCCAGAAAUCGACGUGCACCCGCGGGUGCGACGGGGCUUGCUUUUUCCCUGAAGCUUUCAUGAAUGUGUCUCUCUAGAGAUCAUGAAUAUCACAUGUCAUUGUCACAACUCCAUAGCCCGAUGGAAGGGAGCUGAACACGCCUGUCAACAGACACUCAAUGUCCUCUUUCAGAGUAUUUCCUAUGGAAAGUAAGUUCAUCUGCAGAGGUGUGUGUGAGUGUGUGUGUGUGUGAGUGAGUGUGUGUGCCUCUGUGUGUGUCUCUCUGUGUGUCAGAGUGUGUGUCUCUGUGUGUGUCUGUGUGUGUGCAUCUGUGUGUGUGUGUGUCUCUGUGUGUGUCUGUGUGUGUGCAUCUGUGUGUGUGUGACUGUGUCUGUGUGUCUGUGUGUGUGUCUCUGUGUGUGUGUCUGUGUGUGUCUCUGUAUGUGUGUCUCUGUGUGUGAGAGUGUGUCUGUGUGUGUGUGUCUGUGUGUGUGUGAGUGUGUGAGAGAGUGUGUGUGCCUCUGUGUGUCUCUGUGUGUGUGUCUGUGUGUGUAUCUGUGUGUAUGUGUCUGUGUGUGUGUCUCUGUGUGUGUGUCUCUGUGUGUGUGUCUCUGUGUGAGUGAGUGUGUGUGCCUCUGUGUGUGUCUGUGUGUGUGUGUCUCUGUGUGUGUCUCUGUGUGUGUCAGAGUGUGUGUCUGUGUGUGUCUGUGUCUGUCUCUGUGUGUGUGAGUGUGUGAGAGAGUGUGUCUCUGUGUCUGUAUCUGUGUGUGAGUGUGUGUGUGAGUGUGAGUGUGUGUGGGUGUGAGUGACAGGGCUUCACUUUACUAUGCCCCUUGAGGCUUUGGAACUUACAAGGCUUCUCUUUUUCCCUAAUCUUCUCCCUGAACUUCUCCUCCCUGAUCUCAUUUUCUCUGAAUGUCUCCGUGAUAAACCUCGGUCUGCCCAGGGGCAGAACCGCAGCCUGGGGAACCGGACCUGUCUUGAUAUUGAACUGGCGUAGAGGACGAGGACCAAGCUCUGGUUACGUGUGUGGUGUGUGCAUUUGGUGGCCCAUUGCAGUUUCCUGUGGCUGGUGACAGCAGUGCUGGAGAGCCAGCCUCGCCCUGCGCCUCGCGCCCCGGCUCUUCCUGCCCGUCUGCUGCUGGGAUCCGCAGGGCCUUGAUACAUUUAAAACCAAAUUCCAAGUCUCCCAGCUGCUAGAAAACAUUUAAAAUUAGAAUGGGCUACAAAGGAGAAGACAACCACCCCAGUGACGGAGGCAACAAGUGUCAAUAUUGCAGGUGUUGAUACAUUGUACAGGUUUUAAAAUUUUUAUUUUGUAGCUUUAGAUUAUUCUUUUUCGCCCAAAUAACGCUUGUUCCCUAUUUUUACUUUCCCUUUUUGUCCUGAGAAUUGAAUCAGAAUGCUCUACCACUGAGCUGUACCCCCAACCCUGUUUGAGACAGGGUCUCUUAAGUUGCUGAGGGUGGCCUUGAACUUGCAACCUCCUGCCUCAGCCUCCCCCCAUGGAUCGAACGACAGGCGUGGCCACCAUGCCUGGCCUACUUAUUUCACUUUUUUUAAAAAUAUAUUUAUUUUUUUAGGUGUAGAUGGACACAACACCGGGCCUUUAAUUUUAUGUGGUGCUGAGGAUGGAACCUGGGUCCCCUCCCGCCCGUGCUAGACAGGGCUCUACCCCUGAGCCACAAUCCCAGCCCCUUAUUUCACUUUUUAAAAUGAAAGUCAAGCCACCCUGAGCUCUUUCCUCCCACACCCCAAGCUUCUCUGUGGAGCCAACAGGGUCUGAAUUCGUGGACGUCACCCUGGAGGACAGUCACCCUGGAGGACAGCCGUGGGAUCACCCCCUGUGGCAGGCCCCGCCAACUUCCCUCAGCACCACCCCUCCCGGUUUUCCACACAACUUCCUCUUUUUCUCAAGAUAAAAUAGGUCCCAACAAUGAAAACAAACACUCGGAGACGUUCACAUUCAUCUCCAAAGCGGGCCUCUGGAACGCCCUUGGUCACUUCCAGAUAUUGUGGGGGAUUCCGGUCAGGCACCCCGGCAGCCAGGACCCGCUCACUUGUUUCAAUCUAGUACUUUUCCAGCCAUCUGCAAAGUCUCCCUGCAACAGUCCUGUCCCUGGGGGUCCCUGCUCCCCCUGGCCCCGAGAAGUCAAAGCCAACAGGGUCUUGCCCACAGCCUCGAUUCAGAGGAGAGGCUGACCCCAAGAACCCAGAGUUCCCCAGGCUCUCUGAAGCAUGUCCUUGAUAGUUCACCUCCCAACUGAGGAAUGAGUGAUAAGGCAGAGGGCGGGGAGGGGCCUGCAGCCCUCCAGUGGGGCUCCUGGCUCUGGUCCCUCCUGGGUUCCCUGGUCCCUGCAUCCCAGGCGGCUGGAAGGGUCUGUGGUCCUGGGCGGAGCAGGGAGGCCAGCAUUCCUCAGAUUGUUUAUUUGUUUGUUUAAUCUGGGCUGGGCCAGGAACACCUCCUCCCGUCUGCAUUGGGUGGUAUUUGGAUUCUUGCUGCAGCCCAGAGCCCCUGUCCUGGGUUUCCCUGCUGGGCCCCGGGUGGUGCCCUACUCCAGAUGCACACUGGUGGCUACUGAGCUUUCUCCCCCGCCCCCCCUGCCCCCGUGCUGGGCUGGACCUAGGGCCUCACGAAUGCUGGACAGCGCUGACCACUGAGUGCUACCGCCCUGUUUGCUUUUGUCCCACGCAUUCAGUCCCUAAGUCCCUAGGCCUCCCAGCCUUGCCCUGUGGCCCCUAUGACCCUCUGCAGACCCUCCCCAGCUCAAAGUCACCUACCAUGUGGGACAACCACUGUCCAGCCAGCACACGGCUCCUGUCCCUCCCAACUUGGUGGCCGAGGAUGACCGAGAUGGGAAGAUGAGAUUCCUGCUGCCGGCAGCCAGGUGGGAUCUCUGUGGACCCCGAGGUCUGGAUGUCAGGAGGGCCAGGGAGGCAGAACCCCGGGCAGUGGGCACUGAGACUAAUGUCCCUCACUUGAUGAAGCACUCACAGGGGUCAGCCAUCCGUCCCCAGAGCCUGUGUUUGGGCCCAGCACUGCCCUGGAGGGUCCCAGCAGGUGGCCUGCGUGGGAACCACCCCCAAAGGCUGAGCUUGUGGAAUCCUGGGAUGGUAGCAGCAGGUAGGUGUGCCUUCCUGGGUGACGCACACCCAGACACCGUGCCUCUGGUGGAGUCAUGCACAUCGAGGCCUGGGCGGCCCCGGAGGGAGGCUGAGGUGCCCGCUGUGGCCUCGGAGGAGGGGUUGGGGAGUGGAUCCCCUUCCUGCAGACUUGGACCCUCGGGGAAGGAAAAGCAGGGUGGCGCGUAGGGUGGUGGACCGUCCCCCAGCAUGCCCCUGCUCUGAGGUCUCCCCAGCACUGCAGAAAAAGAGAAGAAAAGCAGGUGGUUGUCCUCAGGGAACUGGGGACUGAGGAUCACCUCCACCCUCCCCUGGUCUGAGCACUUCCAGGGCCAGCAUCCUGUCCCCAGAACAUGGCCCCGGCUCAGCACCCCUGGGCGACACUCAGCCCCUGACCCGCCCGGGAUGGCCAGCACAGACCUGAGCCCACACCCUGCUGCCUAGUCAGUGGUCAAGUGGACACAGACUGGAACCUCAGAAUCUGAGCCAAAGAAACCCUUCUUCCUCUACGUUGAUUUUCUUUCUUUCUUUUUUUCUUUCUUUCCUUCCUUCUUUCUAGAAAUAGAAUUUUAUUGUAUCUUUUAAGUAACUGUGGUACAGGGUGGUGGCUCAGCGGUAGAGCACUCGCCUAGCUCGUGCGAGGCCCUGGGUUCGAUCCUCAGCACCACAUAGAAAUAAAUAAAAUAAAGGUGUUGUGUCCAACUCAAACUGAAAAAUUAAUAUAAAAAAAGUAACUGUGGUACAGGGUUGUGCUCAGAGGUGGAGCACUCGCCUAGCAUGCUAAGGGUUCGACCCUUAGCACCACAUACAAAAUAAAACAAAAUAGAGAUAUUGUGUCCACCUAUAACUAAAAAAUAAAUAUUAAAAAAGUAACUGUUGCACAAAGAAACUACAAAUUAUGAACUCCAGAAUGCUUCCAAAUAAUUUAUUUUCACAUGAAUUUUUUUUUAAAUCUACUACACGGGUAAGUAUUAUUGUCUUUUUUUUUUUUAAGAGCGAGCGAGAGAG